Molecule: non-coding RNA, 865 nt
Organism: Camellia sinensis
Lineage: Eukaryota; Viridiplantae; Streptophyta; Magnoliopsida; Ericales; Theaceae
Source: RefSeq, a predicted model, not a curated record
UGCCAUUGGCGUUUUGGGGUAUUGGCCUUGGGUGAUUACUACAAUUGGUGCCGGUGGAUGUAAAGAUUGGGCCUUUUGUACAGUCCAAAAGCUUUACAUGUCGUUAGAGCAUCAUUAUCAUACUCUUCAAAACUGUCUGUUAGCUAUUUUAUACCCAAAAAUCAAAAAAGGCAUAAAAUCGUUGCUCCAUCAAACUCAUUUUCUAUCAAACCGAAAUCCCUCGCUACAAAUAACCAGCGACAAAAACUCGGCUAUUGGACUGAAAUUGGAAACUACAGAGCAACGGAUGGAUUCUCAGACACAAACAGAUGCAUACUUCACCAAUCUAUUACAAGGGGAAUCCAACCUUUUAGGUGAAUUUAUGAUGAAAUCUCCAAAUCAAAUGGGUCAAUGUUCAAGCCAACAUGGUGAAGUGGCCGGGCAAGAGUCUCCAUUGUCACCCCAAAUAGAAUCCACCACAAAGAAAUCACAACGUUGUGGCAACUUCACUACAGAAGAAGACAAUCUCCUUGUAUUGGCAUGGCUCAAUACAAGUUUGGAUGCAGUACACGGAAAUGAGCAAAAGCACAAGACAUUGGAAUAGAGUUUGGGAGUAUUUCCACAAGUACAAGACUUUUAAUUCUGAACGUAAUUAGAAUUCUUUAAUGAAUCGGUGGUCAACUAUUCAACUUGGAACCAAUAAGUUUUGUGGGUUCUUUGCUCAAAUUGAAUUAAUGCAUCAAAGUGGAGUAAAUAAGCAAGACAAGAUUGGCAAGGCCAAACUUAUGUAUCAAGAAUUCCAAAAAGCAUAAUUUCCAUUUGAACAUUGUUGGAAUGUGUUGAGGUACCAACCAAAAUGGUUAGAGGAAUGUGAGAAGAAAAAACC